RNAcentral lists this unclassified non-coding RNA (269 nucleotides) under Hevea brasiliensis (rubber tree). Lineage: Eukaryota; Viridiplantae; Streptophyta; Magnoliopsida; Malpighiales; Euphorbiaceae. The record is from RNAcentral.
CAGCAAGUGCCAGUUCUACAUGGAUAUGUUGCAAGCAUGCCGCAGGGGCUAUGGGGCUGCAUUGGGUGCUUGAAGUUGAUUGUGAUGAAAUCCUUUUAUCCAUCUUGUAGUUAGUGUUUGAUAGGUGAUGUUUUGUCUUAAUCUUGUGAUCUGACGGAAACGGUUUUUUUAGCUGGUUCAACUCACCACUCUUAUGCAUGUUCUAAAGAAUAUAAACUAAACCUGGAAAGCUGAUUAGCAGUAUUUGAUUUUCCAAUUCUAUAUUUUGC